Fukomys damarensis (Damara mole-rat) is the source of this 3946-nucleotide long non-coding RNA. RefSeq lists it as uncharacterized. The record is from RefSeq and is a predicted model, not a curated record. Lineage: Eukaryota; Metazoa; Chordata; Mammalia; Rodentia; Bathyergidae. The transcript has 2 exons.
CGGGCCCAUACACCGAGCAAGAGUCCUGUGUUACCUGGUGCCGUGGGGUGGAAGUGGUACUUUCCAGGCUUCCUGUCGGCUCUGCGCCAAGUGAGUUGCUUCACUGCCAGCAGCCUCUGUCCCUCGAGGGGGUCCUGUGGCCUUGCCUGGGGAGGCUCACGCUACGCAGAGGUGGCCCAGGGUGUCUGCCCAUGUGCAGGGCUGGCGCCGUGCUGGCUGAGACAGUGCCUGGUUUGGUCUCGCUGACAGGUAUGUAAAUUGUUGCUCAUGUUUGUUUUUUCUUUUCAGGAUAUAAAUUUCUAGCCAGUUUUCUCCUUUACAAAGUCAACUGUGCUGUCUCGGUUUUGUUUACUAUUUCAUGCAUUCAUUGGUCGUUCACCAGUCCCACUGAUAGGAUCACAGCUCACGCUCCCUCAUGGUUCCCGGGCACCUCAGAAAGCACCCUGGGGAUGCCCCUCAGACUCUGCUAUGGCCCACAGGCCCAGAUCCAUGCCUGUCCAGUGGCUCCGCACAGUGGCAGGCGUGGCUGCUGGUGGGGGUGAUGGUCAGGUUCUGUGGCUCAGAGAGGUUGGCCACGUGUGGCCUGCUGGCCCCUAUAGAGAGAUGUGGAUCCAGGCUUACCAGGCGUCCAUCUGGCCCAUGACUCUGGGCGGGCCUUGAGGGUGCAGGGCCAUCCCGCUGGUGAGUUGCAGGUUGCUGUGGAGGCGCCGGCUAUGACACCUGCUCCACACAGCCUCUGACGGACAGACAAAACAGUCCCUGGAAGGAGCCCAGGUCAGCACUCUUGCAGGCUCUGCCUCAGCAGGGGGAGCCCAGGCUUCUGGCUGGCCGUGUUCAGCACUCUGCUGGCCUCGCCAGCAUCGUGCGUGUGUGGAGACUGCUGAGCCGCUCUCCCCCUCCCCAUGGCCUUGUACAGUCCCAUGGGCUGGAGGCGUCCCCAUGGGAGGGAGCUGGAUACUGCUGCCCUUCCCGCCCAGACACUGCCCGGGUCUCCUGGGGAUGCCCAGUCUGGUGCUGCUCUGGGCCAGCUGGCAAAGCAGGUGCUGCUACAGGAGGAAGAAAGGAGCCUGGGUAAGGGGAUGGCAUGCUGGGGAGCUUGGAGCUGAGUCCUGGCACAGGGGUCCCUCCUAGAGAGCACGGCUUAUGACCCUGAGCACUUUGGGCCCACCUGCCCAGAGUGGGUGCCUCUUGGUUCUCGUCUCAGUGGCUGCAGGCAGGCCUGGCAAUGAGUUUCUUGGUCAUUCAGCCCUAGGGCUCUGUCUGCAUGGCGCUGUGCAGCCCUGGGCAUGGCAGCAGCUGCAUCUCGUCACCACAGCCUGCGCAGGCCACCCGCUCACCUGGUGCCCUCCGAGGCCACAUCUGGUUUCCAUUUCUUCCGUGAGGCUGAAACACACACACACAGCCCCCCUCUCAGAACAUGAGCUGUCUGCUGCGUCAAGUGCCCCGGCCUCCUCCGGGUGAGGGGCUGCGGGCUGCGGGCUGUGGCUGCGCUCUGUUCUGACCCAGGCGUGCCUUGACGUUCUCUUUGAUGUUGUGCAGGCCACAGACAGAGCCUGCCAGCUGUGCUGAGAGCCCUGCCGUGGCCGUGACCAAGUCCUGUUCUUGUGUGGGAUACACAUGAUUGGCAGGUGCAGCCAGACCCCACGUGUGGCCCCGUGGGCUUGUGGAAAGCACAGUCAAGUCCCUGGGAAAGCUCUUACCCAUUUAGAAGGCUAAUUAGGCCAUUUGUCUCUGGGCCUGAUAGCACCCAGAGGGUCUCUGGAUGGAUUUGGAUUUGGUGGUGUUUGGCCUCAUUAGAAAGCCGCUGUGCCCCUUGUCUUUCUUCCUCCCCCUUGCGCACACACUGUGGCCCACCCUGGCCCCUGCAAGUCGUUCCCUUGUCCAAAGCAGGAGCAGCUGACAGAGUAUAGCCCUGUGGGACAGCGGACUGGACUGAGCAGUGUGGGGCAGAAGCAGGAGCUGCGAGCAGUGGCAUGGCUGCACGUGUGGGCACUGGAGCAGGUGACGCAGGCCCAGGGGACACAGCUUCCCCUGGUGUCCUGCACCUCUAGCAGGUGGACUUCCUCUGCUCUAUGGUCACAGCUGCCUCCCAAGGACCUGCGUUGGCCUCCACUCCCUUCCGGAGGGAGGCAGGCUCCGAGCUGGGUCCAUUCACUCCUCCCACCUCAGUCUGGGACAGUGUGAUCCCAAGGCUGUCCCUGUUGGCAGUACUAGGGAUUGAACCAGGACUUUUGUGCUGAGUUACAUUUCCAGCCCUUUUUGAUGUUUUAUUUUGAGACAGGAUCUUGCUAAGCCACUAGGUUACUCAGGCUAAGUUUGACCUCACAAUCCUCUUGCUUCAGCCUCCCAGAGUGCUGGCUACUGAGCAAGUUUUUAAAGCUCCUUUGCUCCCUAGGCCCCUGCUCCUGUUGCAGUUUCUAUGCUGAUUUCACCCUGCCAGACCUGCGAGGGGCAGGAAGAGAUGGUGCUUUCUGGCAGCUGCUGGCCUGCGCAGAGCCUGUGUGAUGUGGGGCUGCUGCACUGUGUUUGAGGAGGAGCGGGUAGCAUCUUCUAGCUGAUGCCCAACUCUGGUGCUGGCCGUGGGGCUGCGUGGGCCCUCUGGGUAUCAAGAGCCGUCACCAAGCCAUGGGGAGGCCUUCGCUCCAGAGAGGUGAGGUGGUGAGGCCUCAUAGCUGAGUGCAGACCAGGUUUUUAAAGCAAGCCCUUAAGGAGUAAUCCUUGCCUCAGGGCAGAAGCCAAGUGUGCCUUGGAUGCUACCUAACCCAGGGGCUGGUUUUAGAAAACCAUCAAAGCGGUUUCUACUGCUUCCUGGGCUGGGAGCAGGUCUCAAGCCCCCCCCCCCGAGUCUGGGCUUUCAGAAUCACCGUCCAGCACUGCUGCAUAUGGGGGUGGCAGCUGGAGGUGACCCUUCCCAUCUCUACUGAGCACAAGGCACUGCAACGGCGGGCCAUGCCAGUGCCCCGCAGCCCUGCCACCUGACCUCCCCGCCUGUGCUUGGGAGUCGAGGCUGGCUCCAGCGUGGUGGUCAGAGCCGCAGCUGAUGAUGUCUCCCCCUUGAGUGAGAUGUGCCACCACCCAAAAGUGUCUGACUGCAGAGAUGGGGCUCUGAGCUGCAGCCUCCACAGAGAUGGGGCUCCCUCUCCCCCUGCUGGCCACAGGAAGUAAGACCAGACAGGCUGCGCGCUGCAUUCCUGCACUCCUGCGUGUGGAAGGAGCCGCGAACUGUGCUGUCACCUUAGCAGUGAGGACACAGAAUAAACAUGAAAUUUCCCUGGCUCUGGGGUAGGCCCUGUGUUCAAUGACCAGUGGUGACAGUUUGGAGGAUGCAUGAGGGAGACCAGGGUAGAGCAGAGCCACAGUGGACCCCACCUCCUUGCGCUCUGGACUCCUGGCUGUGACCUUGCAGGUGGCCACCCCACAUAGCACCAUCUCCUGCUUGCACACUCCAGUUGCCUUUUGAUUGGAAGCAGACAGAGUGCAGGGGUCUUAGCUGCUGGUUUGAAGUUUUGUGUCAGUGUUGCUGCAGCCAGGAGGCACUGCCAGCCAGCCUUUCCUGAGGAAAAGACCACGUCUGCUGCCCACUAGCAGCCACAUGGUGCUGGUCCAGGUAGCUGCUGGGAGGUGUGAGCUGAGAAGCCCUUGCAGCCUCUUGGGCUGUCCCCGGAGCCCAGUGGCUUUCCCAGGAGCAUUUCCAGAGGGGACUCAGGGUGACUGCAUGGUCCUGCAGUCCUGAUGCCCAGGGGAUGCAGGUGCCCCCUGCCCAGCGCUGCACCGAGUCUGUUUCCUGCCCAGGCCACUGCUCGGCAGCUCUGUCCUAUGGAGAGUGGAGUGCCUCUUUGUUUCAUUGUCCCGCCUCCCUACCCCAUCCUAUCUCCUCAUGGCCGGAAGACCCUCUUGAUUUAUGGCCAUUUCUUACUCAGACAUGGACACUGCCAGGGAGGGAGCA